This 253-nucleotide ribosomal RNA is filed under the name uncultured bacterium. Its description in RNAcentral is "partial 16S ribosomal RNA". It matches the Rfam family "Bacterial small subunit ribosomal RNA", at positions 524 to 776 of the family's 1533-position model. The record is from RNAcentral.
UACGUAGGGGGCAAGCGUUGUCCGGAAUCAUUGGGCGUAAAGAGCGUGUAGGCGGCUCGAUAAGUCUGCUGUGAAAGUCCAGGGCUCAACCCUGGAAGGCCGGUGGAAACUGUCGGGCUAGAGUCCGGAAGAGGCGAGUGGAAUUCCUGGUGUAGCGGUGGAAUGCGCAGAUAUCAGGAGGAACACCGAUAGCGAAGGCAGCUCGCUGGGACGGUACUGACGCUGAGGCGCGAAAGCGUGGGGAGCGAACAGG